AGAUGGUUCUGCUAUCACUCUUGGAUGGACCUGCGGUGCAUCAGCUAGUUGGUAAGGUAAUGGCUUACCAAGGCGAUGAUGCAUAGCCGAGUUGAGAGACUGAUCGGCCACAUUGGGACUGAGACACGGCCCAAACUCCUACGGGAGGCAGCAGUAGGGAAUCUUCCACAAUGGACGAAAGUCUGAUGGAGCAACGCCGCGUGAGUGAAGAAGGGUUUCGGCUCGUAAAGCUCUGUUGGUAGUGAAGAAAGAUAGAGGUAGUAACUGGCCUUUAUUUGACGGUAAUUACUUAGAAAGUCACGGCUAACUACGUGCCAGCAGCCGCGGUAAUACGUAGGUGGCAAGCGUUGUCCGGAUUUAUUGGGCGUAAAGCGAGUGCAGGCGGUUCAAUAAGUCUGAUGUGAAAGCCUUCGGCUCAACCGGAGAAUUGCAUCAGAAACUGUUGAACUUGAGUGCAGAAGAAGAGAGUGGAACUCCAUGUGUAGCGGUGGAAUGCGUAGAUAUAUGGAAGAACACCAGUGGCGAAGGCGGCUCUCUGGUCUGCAACUGACGCUGAGGCUCGAAAGCAUGGGUAGCGAA
Molecule: ribosomal RNA, 579 nt
Filed under: uncultured Bacilli bacterium
Lineage: Bacteria; Bacillati; Bacillota; Bacilli
Description: bacterial SSU rRNA
Rfam family: Bacterial small subunit ribosomal RNA
Source: RNAcentral